RNAcentral lists this ribosomal RNA (468 nucleotides) under uncultured bacterium. Its description in RNAcentral is "partial 16S ribosomal RNA". It matches the Rfam family "Bacterial small subunit ribosomal RNA", at positions 28 to 507 of the family's 1533-position model. The record is from RNAcentral.
GACGAACGCUGGCGGCGUGCUUAACACAUGCAAGUCGAACGGAAAGGCCCUGCUUUUGUGGGGUGCUCGAGUGGCGAACGGGUGAGUAACACGUGAGUAACCUGCCCUUGACUUUGGGAUAACUUCAGGAAACUGGGGCUAAUACCGGAUAGGAGCUCCUGCUGCAUGGUGGGGGUUGGAAAGUUUCGGCGGUUGGGGAUGGACUCGCGGCUUAUCAGCUUGUUGGUGGGGUAGUGGCUUACCAAGGCUUUGACGGGUAGCCGGCCUGAGAGGGUGACCGGCCACAAUGCGACUGAGAUACGGCCCAGACUCCUACGGGAGGCAGCAGUGGGGAAUAUUGCACAAUGGGCGGAAGCCUGAUGCAGCAACGCCGCGUGCGGGAUGACGGCCUGCGGGUUGUAAACCGCUUUCGCCUGUGACGAAGCGUGAGUGACGGUAAUGGGUAAAGAAGCACCGGCUAACUACGUG